AUUGAACGCUGGCGGCAGGCCUAACACAUGCAAGUCGAGCGGAGGAAGGGAGCUUGCUCCUGGAUUCAGCGGCGGACGGGUGAGGAAUGCCUAGGAAUCUGCCUGGUAGUGGGGGAUAACGUCCGGAAACGGGCGCUAAUACCGCAUACGUCCUGAGGGAGAAAGUGGGGGAUCUUCGGACCUCACGCUAUCAGAUGAGCCUAGGUCGGAUUAGCUAGUUGGUGGGGUAAAGGCCUACCAAGGCGACGAUCCGUAACUGGUCUGAGAGGAUGAUCAGUCACACUGGAACUGAGACGCGGUCCAGACUCCUACGGGAGGCAGCAGUGGGGAAUAUUGGACAAUGGGCGAAAGCCUGAUCCAGCCAUGCCGCGUGUGUGAAGAAGGUCUUCGGAUUGUAAAGCACUUUAAGUUGGGAGGAAGGGCAGUAAGUUAAUACCUUGCUGUUUUGACGUUACCAACAGAAUAAGCACCGGCUAACUUCGUG
Molecule: ribosomal RNA, 484 nt
Filed under: uncultured bacterium
Lineage: Bacteria
Description: partial 16S ribosomal RNA
Rfam family: Bacterial small subunit ribosomal RNA
Source: RNAcentral